This 253-nucleotide ribosomal RNA is filed under the name uncultured bacterium. RNAcentral's name for it is "partial 16S ribosomal RNA". It matches the Rfam family "Bacterial small subunit ribosomal RNA", at positions 524 to 776 of the family's 1533-position model. The record is from RNAcentral.
UACGUAGGAGGCGAGCGUUGUCCGGAAUUACUGGGCGUAAAGCGCGCGCAGGCGGUUAGUCGCAUCGGCGGUGAAAGCCCCCCGCUUAACGGGGGAGGGUCCGUCGAGAUGGACUGACUGGAGGCAGGGAGAGGGCGGUGGAAUUCCGGGUGUAGUGGUGAAAUGCGUAGAGAUCCGGAGGAACACCAGUGGCGAAGGCGGCCGCCUGGACCUGACCUGACGCUCAUGCACGAAAGCGUGGGGAGCAAACAGG